RNAcentral lists this ribosomal RNA (494 nucleotides) under uncultured bacterium. RNAcentral's name for it is "partial 16S ribosomal RNA". It matches the Rfam family "Bacterial small subunit ribosomal RNA", at positions 28 to 507 of the family's 1533-position model. The record is from RNAcentral.
GACGAACGCUGGCGGCGCGCUUAACACAUGCAAGUCGAACGGAAAGGCCUGCUUUCCCUUGUGGAUUGCGGGUACUCGAGUGGCGAACGGGUGAGUAACACGUGAGUGAUCUGCCCCCAACUUGGGUAUAAGCCUGGGAAACUGGGUCUAAUUCCCGAUAGGACUGCAGGGUGGUGCCUGUGGUGGAAAACGAUUUUCUAGUGGUUGGGGAUGAGCUCGCGGCCUAUCAGCUUGUUGGUGGGGUAAUGGCCUACCAAGGCGGCGACGGGUAGCCGGCCUGGGAGGGUGGACGGCCACAUUGGGACUGAGAUACGGCCCAGACUCCUACGGGAGGCAGCAGUGGGGAAUAGUGCACAAUGGGCGGAAGCCUGAUGCAGCGACGCCGCGUGGGGGAUGACGGCCUUCGGGUGGUAAACUCCUUUCGACCGCGAGGAAGCCACCUGGUUGGAAGGGUGGUGACGGUAGUGGUAGAAGAAGCACCGGCUAACUACGUG